RNAcentral lists this ribosomal RNA (468 nucleotides) under uncultured bacterium. RNAcentral's name for it is "partial 16S ribosomal RNA". It matches the Rfam family "Bacterial small subunit ribosomal RNA", at positions 28 to 507 of the family's 1533-position model. The record is from RNAcentral.
GACGAACGCUGGCGGCGUGCUUAACACAUGCAAGUCGAACGGAAAGGCCCUGCUUUUGCGGGGUGCUCGAGUGGCGAACGGGGGAGUAAAACGUGAGUAACCUGCCCUUGUAUUUGGGGUAACUUCAGGAAACUGGGGCUAAUACCGGAUAGGAGCUCCUGCUGCAUGGUGGGGGUUGGAAAGUUUCGGCGGUUGGGGAUGGACUCGCGGCUUAUCAGCUUGUUGGUGGGGUAGUGGCUUACCAAGGCUUUGACGGGUAGCCGGCCUGAGAGGGUGACCGGCCACAUUGGGACUGAGAUACGGCCCAGACUCCUACGGGAGGCAGCAGUGGGGAAUAUUGCACAAUGGGCGGAAGCCUGAUGCAGCAACGCCGCGUGCGGGAUGACGGCCUUCGGGUUGUAAACCGCUUUCGCCUGUGACGAAGCGUGAGUGACGGUAAUGGGUAAAGAAGCACCGGCUAACUACGUG